AUACGGAGGGUGCGAGCGUUACUCGGAGUCACUGGGCGUAAAGCGUCCGUAGGCGGUCGGGUAAGUCGGGUGUGAAAGCCCCGGGCUCAACCUGGGAAGUGCACCCGAUACUGCUCGACUCGAGUGCGUGAGAGGAUGGCGGAAUUCCCGGUGUAGCGGUGAAAUGCGUAGAGAUCGGGAGGAACACCAGUGGCGAAGGCGGCCAUCUGGCCCGCAACUGACGCUGAGGGACGAAAGCGUGGGGAGCAAACAGAAGUAGAUACCCUAGUAGUCC
Molecule: ribosomal RNA, 274 nt
Filed under: uncultured bacterium
Lineage: Bacteria
Description: partial 16S ribosomal RNA
Rfam family: Bacterial small subunit ribosomal RNA
Source: RNAcentral